CAGAAUAGACUUGUAAACGGGUCAGGUUUAUUGGGUUUGGGUUGGGUUUAACCUGACCUGUUAAUUUAAUGGAUCACCCGAACCCAACCCGUUAAGCCUAAUAAGUCACCCGUUUCACCCGUUAACAAUUUUUUAUGUUUUUUUUUUUACAUUUUGCAUUCCAAUACAAAUUACACAUCUUUUACCCAAAAUUACAAACAUUAACUAACAGUCUAACAUCUUUUAUAUAUAUGUGUGUGUGUGUGUGUGUGUAUAUAUAUAUAUGUAUAUGUAUAUGUAUAUGUAUAUGUAUAUGUAUCAAACUACAAUCUUCCAAAUCAACUAAUUAAUAAAACUCCAUAGCCUCAGUGUUCUCUUCAUCAAUAUCCAUCUGCACUAAUCAUAAACAUAAGAUGCAUCAGAUGCCAAGGAAGUGGAGACAACGAAAAUGCAGAGUAGCAUGUUAGUUAACAGUUAACUUAAUAAAAAGCAGAUUUCUAAAACAAUUUCAAGUAUCUCAACAAACCGCAAGGACAAAUUAUGUACUCAGUUCCCAGAUUAAACUUGUUGAAGUACCAUCUACUGUGAGAAAAGAUAGAAAAAAAACCCCCGAGAACUCAUCUAGUUAAAAGAAACCGAAAGCAAUGACUACUAUGACUUAAUGCAAUCCAAAUUAGAAAUCGAAAUGGAUCUAGAAUUCCCUAAAAUCAAAAGAACUAAUCUUUCUAAACUACACUGUAACCAUCUACCAACUCCUAGUAGUCCAAUUUCACACAACCCCAUUUCAGAAAACAAUCGAAAACCCACAAUUUUGCAAACAAUUCCAACCCUAAAUUCAUUCCAAGCAUCAAAUCCAUUAAGCAAUUUUAAUUUUCAACACCCACAAAAAAGAGACAACAAAAGCAGAAUGAAACAAAACCCCAAAUUGAUGACAUGUGUAAGCAUUAAUUUCAUUCCAAAUUCCAAUCAAUAAAAAUCCACACUUUCAGAAGAACCCAGAAACAAAAACAUAAGAAAUCAGAUCCAAAACAACAAAAAACCCAUAUUUUAGAGAGAGAGGAUUACCAGGAGCAAUCUUGAGGAGGGACAAAAAAGAAGGUGCAAGAAGAUGAUGAGGGAGAUAACCGGAGGUCCGGAGCUAGAAGGAAAGGAGCACGGCGUGCACGAGAGUGGAGAUGGACUGAGGUCUGAGGGUUUUCUAUUAAGACUACUGAAAUUACACAAAAGUUCUCAAUAAACGGGUGAUUAACGGGUUUCGCAAGUUCACCCAAAAUGACCCAUUAUUUAACGAGUGAUUAACGGGUUGACCCGUUAACCACCAGACCCGUUUAUCACCCAUCUGAAAAUUAAUUUUAACGGGUCGGAUCGAGUCGGGUUAACGUGAGAUUGCCAAGUGUCCAAAACAAUUGAUGCCCCUGAAACAGUGGGAGGAUGCCUUUCUUGCAGAAUUUUCAUAGCUAAGGCUAGUAUGUUCGCCUCCUGAUUUUUCUUCGUCCACUUCCCAUACAAGAACUAAUUAUUGGCAUAGUAAACAUGAAAAUUGAUUAAAAGUUGGUGAGCUCUGCUUAUUUUAGUUCACUUCCAUUGGGUUUAAUAUUCUGGGCUAGAAAAAUUAAAGUCAAAUCAAUUAAACUACGAACAAUUCAUGUGGAAUGUUGAAUUUAAAUAGUUUGAUAGUAAAAUAUAUUUGGGAUUGGUCUUCAAAUUCCAUCCCAAAAAAUUUCGGUUUGGGAUUCGGGAUACUAGUUUCGGUUCGGUAUCGUAUACCGAACCAGCCGUCUUACUACCCAUUCUCACAACUUCAUCUAAACUGUUCUACAUGUAUAAGAUUUGUGUUCAUGGAGGUGGCCUCAGACGGAUUUCAAGCUGGGCUGUAGAGAUUUGACUCAAAUUGGUGCAUUUGGGAAAGAAACUAAGAAACCCUACAAUUUUCUUUUGGUUGUAAGAGCUGAAAUGGACAUACAUGUGCUUUUCUUUGUGAGAUAUAGGAGAUUGAGAAAUUUUUUGUUUAUCGUUCUGGGGUGAGAGGAGUGUUGUCAAAUAUAAGAGAAUUAGUAAUUUUAAUUAAUUUAAUAAAUUUAGAAUAGAGAGUUAGCGUUCUACAAAAAAAAUGUUAAUAAAUUGGUUAAUGGGUUUUCAAUUCCUUGUUAUUAUUGGCUCUGAUGCUUUUGGAUAACUUAUGUGUAUGGUAGGAUUGAUAUGUUCUAUAUAUGUGAGCUUGCUUGAAAUAUAGCUAGGAAACAUCUUUCCUUUUUUUAGAAUACCCUGACAGCUCCAUGCCUCUCAGCCCAAAGCCAGAGAUUAUUUCUCUUGGCCCGCAGCCAACAACCAUAAUCCUUGCCUGUGGCGUAUAGUGACCACUAGAUAAACACAAAACCAUUAAACAUAGACUUUCCAAACAUAGGUGUGUGUAUAUAUA
Molecule: long non-coding RNA, 2398 nt
Filed under: Malus domestica (apple)
Lineage: Eukaryota; Viridiplantae; Streptophyta; Magnoliopsida; Rosales; Rosaceae
Description: long non-coding RNA (MDOM_LNC004301)
Source: RNAcentral